RNAcentral lists this small RNA (211 nucleotides) under Arabidopsis thaliana (thale cress). Its description in RNAcentral is "ATSL001050". The record is from RNAcentral. Lineage: Eukaryota; Viridiplantae; Streptophyta; Magnoliopsida; Brassicales; Brassicaceae.
AAUUAAAUUAGUAUUUGACUUUUUAAUCCUUAAAGAGAUAAAUUAAUUUACUCUUUAAAAUUUUAUUUCUAAUGGCAUACCUAUGUAAUUACUUACAAAAAUUAAGGUUACAUAAAAUAUACUUCCCAAAUAAUAUAGUAGGAUCUCUGUUUUUCCACAGUUAAUUUUUUUGUGUGAAAGGUUUUAUUAGUUAGUUUUUUUUUUUGAAUAU